Molecule: unclassified non-coding RNA, 336 nt
Filed under: soil metagenome
Description: partial contains 5.8S ribosomal RNA, internal transcribed spacer 2, and large subunit ribosomal RNA
Rfam family: 5.8S ribosomal RNA (bases 1-120)
Source: RNAcentral
GAUGAAGAACGUAGCGAAAUGCGAUAAGUAAUGUGAAUUGCAGAAUUCAGUGAAUCAUCGAAUCUUUGAACGCACAUUGCGCCCGCCAGUAUUCUGGCGGGCAUGCCUGUUCGAGCGUCAUUUCAACCAUCAAGCCCCCGGCUUGUGUUGGGGACCUGCGGCUGCCGCAGGCCCUGAAAAGCAGUAGCGGGCUCGCUGUCACACCGAGCGUAGUAGAUUUCAUCUCGCUCAGGGCGUGCUGCGGGUUCCGGCCGUUAAACCACCUUCAUAACCCAAGGUUGACCUCGGAUCAGGUAGGAAGACCCGCUGAACUUAAGCAUAUCAAUAAGCGGAGGA